Homo sapiens (human) is the source of this 863-nucleotide RNA transcript. It is a transcript of the gene named PRSS3 pseudogene 2, with no coding region annotated. NCBI's taxonomy places the organism in Eukaryota, Metazoa, Chordata, Mammalia, Primates, Hominidae. The transcript is spliced from 5 exons. The record is from RefSeq and is marked validated.
CUCACCUCACAGACACUCCUCUCUGGAUCCUCCAGAGCUAUAAAGACGGGCCUUCCACCACCAGACAGGCGCACUCUACCACCAUGAAUCCACUCCUGAUCCUUGCCUUUGUGGGAGCUGCUGUUGCUGUCCCCUUUGAUGAUGAUGACAAGAUCGUUGGGGGCUACACCUGUGAGGAGAAUUCUGUCCCCUACCAGGUGUCCUUGAAUUCUGGCUCCCACUUCUGCGGUGGCUCCCUCAUCAGCGAACAGUGGGUGGUGUCAGCAGGUCACUGCUACAAGCCCCACAUCCAGGUGAGACUGGGAGAGCACAAUAUCGAAGUCCUGGAGGGGAAUGAGCAGUUCAUCAAUGCAGCCAAGAUCAUCCGCCACCCCAAAUACAACAGGAUUAUUCUGAACAAUGACAUCAUGCUGAUCAAGCUCUCCACACCUGCCGUCAUCAAUGCCCAUGUGUCCACCAUCUCUCUGCCCACUGCCCCUCCAGCUGCUGGCACCGAGUGCCUUAUCUCCGGCUGGGGCAAUACCCUGAGCUCUGGGGCCGACUACCCAGAUGAGCUGCAGUGCCUGGACGCUCCUGUGCUGACCCAGGCUAAGUGUAAAGCCUCCUACCCUUUAAAGAUUACCAGCAACAUGUUCUGUGUGGGCUUCCUUGAGGGAGGCAAGGAUUCCUGCCAGGGUGACUCUGGUGGCCCUGUGGUCUGCAAUGGACAGCUUCAAGGAAUUGUCUCCUGGGGCUAUGGCUGUGCCCAGAAGAGAAGGCCUGGAGUCUACACCAAGGUCUACAACUAUGUGGACUGGAUUAAGGACACCAUAGCUGCCAACAGCUAAAGCCCCUGGUCACUCUGCAGUCUCUAUACCAAUAAA